GAUGAACGCUGGCGGCGUGCCUAAUACAUGCAAGUCGAGCGAACAGACGAGGAGCUUGCUCCUCUGACGUUAGCGGCGGACGGGUGAGUAACACGUGGAUAACCUACCUAUAAGACUGGGAUAACUUCGGGAAACCGGAGCUAAUACCGGAUAACAUGUUGAACCGCAUGGUUCAACAGUGAAAGACGGUCUUGCUGUCACUUAUAGAUGGAUCCGCGCCGCAUUAGCUAGUUGGUAAGGUAACGGCUUACCAAGGCAACGAUGCGUAGCCGACCUGAGAGGGUGAUCGGUCACACUGGAACUGAGACACGGUCCAGACUCCUGCGGGAGGCAGCAGUAGGGAAUCUUCCGCAAUGGGCGAAAGCCUGACGGAGCAACGCCGCGUGAGUGAAGAAGGUCUUCGGAUCGUAAAACUCUGUUAUUAGGGAAGAACAAAUGUGUAAGUAACUAUGCACGUCUUGACGGUACCUAAUCAGAAAGCCACGGCUAACUACGUG
RNAcentral lists this ribosomal RNA (497 nucleotides) under uncultured bacterium. Its description in RNAcentral is "partial 16S ribosomal RNA". It matches the Rfam family "Bacterial small subunit ribosomal RNA", at positions 28 to 507 of the family's 1533-position model. The record is from RNAcentral.